This is a long non-coding RNA of Capra hircus (goat), 222 nucleotides long. RefSeq lists it as uncharacterized. The record is from RefSeq and is a predicted model, not a curated record. The transcript is spliced from 3 exons. Lineage: Eukaryota; Metazoa; Chordata; Mammalia; Artiodactyla; Bovidae.
GGGCCCUGCCAGAUGUGUGGUGGCUGUUGGCGUCCUCUGUGCUCUUACGUCCAGCCUCCUGGGUGACAUGUUCCCCAUGUCUCGGUUAAUCCGUGCAAUGGCAGAGGACGGGCUCCUUUUCCGGGGACUUGCCCGGGUCUAUGGUCACACAAAAAUCCCCGUCGUGGCCAUCAUGUCUUCUGGAAGCCUUGCAGGGAUCAUGGCAUUACUCUUUGAGUUCAG